This 1281-nucleotide long non-coding RNA is filed under the name Anser brachyrhynchus (Pink-footed goose). RNAcentral's name for it is "lncRNA (ENSABRG00000001190.1)". The record is from RNAcentral. Lineage: Eukaryota; Metazoa; Chordata; Aves; Anseriformes; Anatidae.
AUGCCACUGUGUCCAUGCCACAGGCCAUCCCUCAGAGAAGGGAAAUACUGUCUUCUAUAUAGUAAAUAUCCAUGUCUUAAGAUGAAGAAAGAGGAAAAAAAUCAGAUUUGUACUUGGAUCAGAUUCCAAAUGUCCAUGAACGUGUGCAAUGGAAGGUGGAAAUUUUGUAUUUCUCCCCUGCUAAUUUCAUCAGGAUGCAACGGCGCUAUCCGUUCUGCUUUUCAGAGUGUGUCGGUCCUGCCUGGAAAAGCUUUGUAUUGUGUAAUGGCAGAAUGUUGUCCCUACUGUGCUGGGUUAUUGAAAUAAGCAGCGCAGUUACUACAGUCAAACAAUCGCAGACCUUUGUACCACACUGACAAUAGGAUUUCCAGCUCUCUUCCACUGAUGCAAAGAUGUUUAUGCCAUAUGAAAGCUGUAAGACUUUAAAUGAAGAGCACAUUUAAAUGAUGAGCUACACAAAGAAGUCCACCUAAUGACAAGCUGGUCAGCUGGCACUGCAGCAGUGGCAGGGAUUUUGCAAAGAAGGGACAGCCGAGACUGCAAGCUGGCCACAAAAAGCAGAUUCACCUUAAAAUGUUUCUUCUCAGGGCAGCCCUGCAACUGCCCCAGCUCCAGCUUGGGUGAGCGCUGCAGAUCCUGUGGCCAUAUAGGUCACAAGAUCACUAAAGCAUACAGACUUUAUGGUGUGGUAUGGCUCAGGGAACUGUUUUCCUGAUUUAUGAACCCAGCUUCAUGAAUAACUGUUUAGUUUUUGUUCCUCUCCUCUCAUUGUUAUUCUGUUUUCUAUUUUGCUAUUCCCCUCCUCGCUGCAGAGAGGGGACUUUCAUAACACAAGGGAUACCCAGGGAAUACUGAAGCAAUGGUAACUAAGGCACACCAUGGAAGCUGAGGGCAAACUCUGUACUGAUAGCUAUGUGCAGCAGAAAUAUUCUGUAUAUUGUUAGUUCCAUCUCGUCCUGUCCUUAAUAUUCCCUUCAGGGCUUUCUUCCCUGGCAUACAGUGCAGCAAAUACCUAGGGAAUAUUGCAAAAACCGAGGGAACAUUAUCUAGUUACCUAAGGCAACUGAAAAGUUUUCAAACUGACCAGCGUAGUUGUGUUUCACAACUUCCAUUUAAUAGACAAUGCCUGUCUCUCAAAAUAUCCACAUGGAAAUGCAGAGGCAACUGCGAAGUUUGAGUGCUCUGUCUGUGUGUCCUGCCUGCAUCCAAUUAACAGCCAAACUAUUUGAAAGGAAAGUGAUCAAAUGGAAUGAAUUAAUUUUAAAAAUAAUUGGUUUUAUU